UUACCUUUAUCGCUCAAUCCUUUUGGAGCGGGGGACCCGUUAUUGUGUGGUGGCUAUUGCCUUCACUUGGGGUGAAUUCUUCUUAUUAGAAAGGGCUACUUCAUGCCCUAACCCGACAGCUAACCUCGUAAGCGUAAUGGAGAGGCAGA
This 149-nucleotide small RNA is filed under the name Bacillus sp. (in: firmicutes). RNAcentral's name for it is "Bacillus sp. c-di-AMP sequence". It matches the Rfam family "c-di-AMP riboswitch aptamer (ydaO/yuaA leader)". Rfam says of the family: This family represents a conserved RNA structure found upstream of the ydaO and yuaA genes in Bacillus subtilis and related genes in other bacteria. Lineage: Bacteria; Bacillati; Bacillota; Bacilli; Caryophanales; Bacillaceae. The record is from RNAcentral. RNAcentral also lists the same sequence under 1 other name.